GUGCUAGAACGAACGCUGGCGGCAUGGAUUAGGCAUGCAAGUCGAACGGGAGCAGCAAUGCUCCAGUGGCGCAAGGGUGAGGAACACGUGAACAACCUGCCUUCGAGUUGGGGAUAGCUUCUGGAAACGGGAGAUAAUACCGAAUAACAUCGUUUUUACCGCAUGGUGAAACGAUCAAAGCAGCAAUGCGCUUGAAGAGGGGUUCGCGUCCCAUUAGUUAGUUGGUGAGGUAACGGCCCACCAAGGCGAUGAUGGGUAGCUGGUCUGAGAGGACGAUCAGCCACAUUGGGACUGAGAUACUGCCCAGACUCCUACGGGAGGCUGCAGUCGAGAAUUUUGGGCAAUGGACGAAAGUCUGACCCAGCAAUGCCGCGUGCGGGAUGAAGGUCUUCGGAUUGUAAACCGCUGUCAAGAGGGACGAAAUUUGACGGUACCUCUGGAGGAAGCCACGGCUAACUACGUGCCAGCCGCGGC
Molecule: ribosomal RNA, 474 nt
Filed under: uncultured bacterium
Lineage: Bacteria
Description: bacterial SSU rRNA
Rfam family: Bacterial small subunit ribosomal RNA
Source: RNAcentral